RNAcentral lists this ribosomal RNA (502 nucleotides) under uncultured bacterium. Its description in RNAcentral is "partial 16S ribosomal RNA". It matches the Rfam family "Bacterial small subunit ribosomal RNA", at positions 30 to 523 of the family's 1533-position model. The record is from RNAcentral.
AUUGAACGCUGGCGGAAUGCUUUACACAUGCAAGUCGAACGGCAGCACGGGUGCUUGCACCUGGUGGCGAGUGGCGAACGGGUGAGUAACAUAUCGGAACGUACCCAGUAAUGGGGGAUAACUAACCGAAAGGUUAGCUAAUACCGCAUACGCCCUGAGGGGGAAAGCGGGGGAUCGAAAGACCUCGCGUUAUUGGAGCGGCCGAUAUCUGAUUAGCUAGCUGGUGAGGUAAAGGCUCACCAAGGCGACGAUCAGUAGCAGGUCUGAGAGGAUGAUCUGCCACACUGGAACUGAGACACGGUCCAGACUCCUACGGGAGGCAGCAGUGGGGAAUUAUGGACAAUGGGGGAAACCCUGAUCCAGCCAUUCCGCGUGAGUGAAGAGGGCCUUCGGGUUGUAAAGCUCUUUCGGCAGGGAAGAAACGGUUCUGGAUAAUACCCGGAGCUAAUGACGGUACCUGAAGAAGAAGCACCGGCUAACUACGUGCCAGCAGCCGCAGUAA